AUAAGGUGUAGAUUAAGGAUGUCAGGAGCCAACUGGGUGCUGUGUGCUAAUUACUUCCAGGGUCUUAUCUCAUUUAAUUCUGCAACAACCUGGUAUUGAGGAUACAAAAGUGACCAGGACUCACCAAACCCCCUGCCUCCCGGGGCCUACAUUCAAGAAAGUAAACACACAAACCGCAUUACACGUCAGACAGUGCUGUGUCCCAUGGAGCAGGGAAAACGCUGACCUCAUGACCUGCACGCGGAAUAUGGGUUGAGGCCUCUAUGAGCUGGGCCUAGGAGGCAGUCUGAAUGGAGUCUCCCUCUGUCGCCCAGGGUGGAAUGCGAUGGCGCUAACUGAAGAAUCUUGCUCUAAAACCUCCUGUGGCUCCCUAGUGCCCUCCAGGCCUAGGUCCCUGUGGGUGGCCCAGCCCUCACCUCACCGUGCUCAAGGUAUCUGUGUCCAGUUCUGCUUCCCCUGACAGUGUGGGGGCUUCGAAAAUGGGGCUGUUUGGUCACUGGGCGGGCACACUGAUACCGGAAGGCGCCUGCCUAAAUAAACACUGGCAGGUGGCCUCCCAGGAGAGGGGGUGUCUGGUCCCCACGGCAGUGGGGGUGGGGUGGCAGGGGUGCUAGCGGCAGGACUGGCUUCAGGGGCAGUCUAGGAACGCAGUCUCUCAGGGCCCUGCAGGAAAAACAAGGGUGUUGCGGUUGGUUGAAGGCUUGGCUGUUACUAAGUAGUAUUAAUCUCUGUUUCUUUGUUUCUUUUUUUUUUGAGACAGAGUUUCGCUCUUGUCGCCCAGGCUGGAGUGC
Molecule: long non-coding RNA, 791 nt
Filed under: Homo sapiens (human)
Lineage: Eukaryota; Metazoa; Chordata; Mammalia; Primates; Hominidae
Description: HSALNT0395661
Source: RNAcentral